UCAAGAAGACGAGUGGCCUAGGCUAGUGACUUCCAUUGCACUUAAAGGAAGGGUGCUUAGCCUAAGGUCUUCCCAUGUGGAAGAGCCUGCGUCAUUAUUUGUGGCAGAGGGGGUUUGCGUUCGCGCAGCCCCUACCAUUCUCAGUCUUCAAAUGUUUCUAUUAUUUCAUUGCUAAUUUUGGUUAUUCCUUCACUUUUAUUGUUCUUGCAACACAUUCUAAAAUCCUUAUGGAUAUGUAGUAUGGACGAAUGUAUGCUAUAAAGAAAGGGCGAGUAUUGAUCCAUGACCCAUCCCUAAAAGUAUUCAUUUAUUUUUUGUUUGGCUCUCUUAAUGGGUUGGUGGAAUGUGUGUAUAUGAGAUAAACACUCUUCUAUUGAAUGAUUUAUGAUUGAA
RNAcentral lists this small RNA (393 nucleotides) under Arabidopsis thaliana (thale cress). RNAcentral's name for it is "putative long intergenic non-coding RNA". The stretch from base 1 to 134 matches the Rfam family "U1 spliceosomal RNA", at positions 30 to 166 of the family's 166-position model. The record is from RNAcentral. Lineage: Eukaryota; Viridiplantae; Streptophyta; Magnoliopsida; Brassicales; Brassicaceae.